This 646-nucleotide ribosomal RNA is filed under the name uncultured bacterium. Its description in RNAcentral is "bacterial SSU rRNA". It matches the Rfam family "Bacterial small subunit ribosomal RNA", at positions 729 to 1364 of the family's 1533-position model. The record is from RNAcentral.
CUGGCCUGUUACCGACGCUGAAGCGCGAAAGCGUGGGGAGCGAAGGGGAUUAGAUACCCCCGUAGUCCACGCCGCAAACGAUGUUCACUGGGUGUCGGUCAUUAAUUAGAUCGGUGCCGGAGCUAACGCAUUAAGUGAACCGCCUGGGGACUACGGCCGCAAGGCUAAAACUCAAGAGAAUUGACGGGGCCCUGCACAAGCGGUGGAGCACGUGGUUUAAUUCGAUGAUAAGCGAAGAACCUUACCUGGGCUUGACAUACUAGCAGUAGGAGCCAGAGAUGGUAACGACCCCUACUUUUGGUAGGGGAACUAGUACAGGUGAUGCAUGGCUGUCGUCAGCUCGUGUCGUGGGACGUUGGGUUAAGUCCCGAAACGAGCGCAACCCCUGUUGUUAGUUGCCAGCGGGUAAUGCCGGGGACUCUAACAAGACUGCAGGUGAAUAGCCGGAGGAAGGAGGGGAUGACGUCAAGUCAUCAUGUCCCUUAUGUCCAGGGCGACACACAUGCUACAAUGGGAGGUACAAAGGGCUGCUAAACCGUAAGGUCAUGCGAAUCCCAGAAAGCCUUCCUUAGUUCGGAUUGAGGUCUGCAACCCGACCUCAUGAAGCCGGAAUCGCGUAGUAAUCGCAGGUCAGCCACACUCGGUG